GGCAAAAUUAGUGACUGGGGCUAAGUCGUAACAAGGUAGCCGUACCGGAAGGUGUGGCUGGAAUACCUCCUUU
RNAcentral lists this ribosomal RNA (73 nucleotides) under Bacteroidales bacterium. RNAcentral describes it as "partial 16S ribosomal RNA". It matches the Rfam family "Bacterial small subunit ribosomal RNA", at positions 1461 to 1533 of the family's 1533-position model. Lineage: Bacteria; Pseudomonadati; Bacteroidota; Bacteroidia; Bacteroidales. The record is from RNAcentral.